This 563-nucleotide ribosomal RNA is filed under the name Agromyces sp. AM03. Its description in RNAcentral is "bacterial SSU rRNA". It matches the Rfam family "Bacterial small subunit ribosomal RNA", at positions 78 to 653 of the family's 1533-position model. The record is from RNAcentral. Lineage: Bacteria; Bacillati; Actinomycetota; Actinomycetes; Micrococcales; Microbacteriaceae.
GCUUGCACUUGGGGAUUAGUGGCGAACGGGUGAGUAACACGUGAGUAACCUGCCCUGGACUCUGGGAUAACCCCGAGAAAUCGGAGCUAAUACCGGAUAGGACCCUUCACCGCAUGGUGCGGGGUGGAAAGUUUUUCGGUCUGGGAUGGACUCGCGGCCUAUCAGCUUGUUGGUGAGGUAAUGGCUCACCAAGGCGUCGACGGGUAGCCGGCCUGAGAGGGUGACCGGCCACACUGGGACUGAGACACGGCCCAGACUCCUACGGGAGGCAGCAGUGGGGAAUAUUGCACAAUGGGCGAAAGCCUGAUGCAGCAACGCCGCGUGCGGGAUGACGGCCUUCGGGUUGUAAACCGCUUUUAGUAAGGAAGAAGCCGCAAGGUGACGGUACUUGCAGAAAAAGGACCGGCUAACUACGUGCCAGCAGCCGCGGUAAUACGUAGGGUCCGAGCGUUGUCCGGAAUUAUUGGGCGUAAAGAGCUCGUAGGCGGUUUGUCGCGUCUGCUGUGAAAACUAGAGGCUCAACCUCUAGCCUGCAGUGGGUACGGGCAGACUUGAGUGGUGUA